Molecule: ribosomal RNA, 301 nt
Filed under: uncultured bacterium
Lineage: Bacteria
Description: partial 16S ribosomal RNA
Rfam family: Bacterial small subunit ribosomal RNA
Source: RNAcentral
CAGCCGCCGCGGUAAUACGUAGGUGGCAAGCGUUGUCCGGAAUUAUUGGGCGUAAAGGGCUCGCAGGCGGUUUCUUAAGUCUGAUGUGAAAGCCCCCGGCUCAACCGGGGAGGGUCAUUGGAAACUGGGAAACUUGAGUGCAGAAGAGGAGAGUGGAAUUCCACGUGUAGCGGUGAAAUGCGUAGAGAUGUGGAGGAACAUCAGUGGCGAAGGCGACUCUCUGGUCUGUAACUGACGCUGAGGAGCGAAAGCGUGGGGAGCGAACAGGACUAGAUACCCCCGUAGUCCCUGUCUCUUAUAC